Long non-coding RNA from Talpa occidentalis (Iberian mole), 921 nucleotides. RefSeq lists it as uncharacterized. The record is from RefSeq and is a predicted model, not a curated record. The transcript is spliced from 4 exons. NCBI's taxonomy places the organism in Eukaryota, Metazoa, Chordata, Mammalia, Eulipotyphla, Talpidae.
GGCUGAAUGAUGGCUCCUCAAAAGAUAUUCACAUCCUAAUCUCUGAAAAAUGCAAAUGUCAUUAUAAGGCCAAAAUGGAUUUUGCAGAUAAGGCUCUUGAGAUGGAUCGAUUAUCCUGAAUGAUCUGAGUAGACUCUAAAUAUAAUCAGCCAUGUCCUUAUAAGAGGAAGGAAGGGGGAAUUUUGGCCCUACAGAAGAGAAGACAAUGUGACCACAUAAGGAGGGACUGGAAUGAUAAGACCUCAAAUCAGGAACUGCCAGCAGAAACCGGAAACUGGAAGAGGCAAAGAAUGGAUUUCCCCUUAGAACCCCUAAAGGGCUACAGUUAAUUACAAGAAGAGACAGAUGCUGAGCAGCCUAAGGCUUUCUCUGCCACCAUGGUGAGGCUGAACUGUACUCAACAAGCAGGUAGUGAGUGAAGACAAAUGCUGUUUGACAAGGCAGCAUAUCCCAGCACCCAGGGAUAGAAAACAGACAGGGCACUCUGUGUUCCCAAGCAAAGACAGAGAAAUAUCAAGCAGAUUGUUUCUGACAGAAAUCAUAUCACAGCCGCACUUCCAGACAAAGUCCGUGUGAAUGAAAUGAUACACUUUCUGUUUUCCAUCUUCCCCUUUAACAAAAAUGUUUCAUCAUCAAACUCUGUUGCCUCAGGGGAAAUACAUCAGAAUACAGAAGACAAAUUCCUAAACUAAUCGAUGCCCUCAGUCUUUAGAGAAAAUAUUUCCAGGCCAGAGAAAAGGAGGAAGAGAGGGAAGGAAGGAGGGAGUGGAGAUACAGAAAGUGAAAAAGAGAAGGAAUAAGUAUUGCACUGAAAUGCUGGCUUAAAUGACAAUGAAAUGGGUAACUUGUUUUAGGUUUUGGAAGCUUUGUGUUCUAAAGUCAAACAAAAGUUUAAAUGAAAGCAUUCUGUCAAAUCCCUAA